CCAAUCAAGCCAGGCUCCAGGAAAAGAUAACAAGUGGUGUGUCUCUACCCAACUGAACAUAAUCUGAACGACUCCAACUGCUGCUUACAAAUCCUGGUAUGCAAGUGCAGGUACAAGGCUGGCCAUGUGAGCCAGUAGGACUACAAGUCUACAAGGAUCUACAGUACUGACAUGGCACAGUCUACGUAAGGUAUAAAUCUGUGAGCUGAGAAUGUACAUCACCCCUUGAUCAUUUCUGAAAUGAGAUGUUUCUCAGUGGAUUGAUCUGUGAGCUGAGAGUGUACCGAUUCUCU
RNAcentral lists this long non-coding RNA (293 nucleotides) under Triticum aestivum (bread wheat). RNAcentral's name for it is "long non-coding RNA (TAES_LNC015702)". The record is from RNAcentral. Lineage: Eukaryota; Viridiplantae; Streptophyta; Magnoliopsida; Poales; Poaceae.